This is a long non-coding RNA of Ictalurus punctatus (channel catfish), 272 nucleotides long. RefSeq lists it as uncharacterized. NCBI's taxonomy places the organism in Eukaryota, Metazoa, Chordata, Actinopteri, Siluriformes, Ictaluridae. The transcript is spliced from 2 exons. The record is from RefSeq and is a predicted model, not a curated record.
CAAUCACAAACCUCUCUACAGAGUGACUGCCAGGCAUGACAGGGCCCUGAGAGCAAAACACCUCAAUCACACAUGCAACACACUUACAGAGUACGUGGAAAGAGAUGAAAAGGCCCUUCCCGACAUAAGAAGUGUGCAAGAGCUGCUGACAUUUCGAGCGUUAGAUGGACGAGACUGUACCUCAGGAGCAUCGGUGUAGUCGAACAUGCGGAAGACGACACUGGGCAUGGGGUAAACCGCAUCGUCAGAGUGAGCUGGAGGAGUGAAAGGGG